This 58-nucleotide microRNA precursor is filed under the name Panagrellus redivivus. RNAcentral's name for it is "microRNA prd-mir-7918c precursor". It matches the Rfam family "mir-7918 microRNA precursor family". Lineage: Eukaryota; Metazoa; Nematoda; Chromadorea; Rhabditida; Panagrolaimidae. The record is from miRBase by way of RNAcentral.
AUUUGGCUCUGAAGUCUUGCUGUGUGGAUUGAAAUCCAGCAAGUUUCAGAGCUUUUUG